GACGAACGCUGGCGGCGUGCCUAAGACAUGCAAGUCGAGCGGGCCAGUCCGCAAGGGCUGGUCAGCGGCAGACGGGUGAGUAACACGUGGGUAACCUGCCCGCUGCAGUGGGAUAACAGCUCGAAAGGGCUGCUAAUACCGCAUAAGCUCACGGAGGCGGGUGCCUCUGGGAGAAAAGGGGCGCCGGGAGGAGCCCCGGCAGCGGAGGGGCCCGCGGCCCAUCAGGUAGUUGGCGGGGUAAAGGCCCACCAAGCCUGCGACGGGUAGCCGGCCUGAG
RNAcentral lists this ribosomal RNA (277 nucleotides) under uncultured bacterium. RNAcentral's name for it is "partial 16S ribosomal RNA". It matches the Rfam family "Bacterial small subunit ribosomal RNA", at positions 28 to 296 of the family's 1533-position model. The record is from RNAcentral.